Molecule: small nucleolar RNA, 134 nt
Organism: Euleptes europaea (tarantolino)
Lineage: Eukaryota; Metazoa; Chordata; Lepidosauria; Squamata; Sphaerodactylidae
Source: RefSeq, a predicted model, not a curated record
AUGCACAUUUCAUUGACCUGCUUUUCUUUGCAUUGGUAAGCAGUGUUAUUUCUGAUGUGCGAAAAGAACAAUUUGAAAGCUAAUUAGCAGUGUUGCUGUAAAUAGUGACUCCUGCCAGUCUCUUUCAUACAUGC